GGCCCACGGACCAGCGAUCUGCCCGGGACAGCUGCGCCGGCUGGGUCCUCGGCGUCUUGCAGCCAACAGUUAGAGACACGUGCAUCCGGGACGCAGACUGGCUCAGCGCCCUCGGUAUUCCGGAUCCGAGGGAAGGAGCCCUCACAGAACAGAAGCGAUUGGUGAAGGGAAGUGCACAGAAUGUGGUGACAGUGCUCCUCUGACAGCCCCAGGUUUGGACCUUGCAAGGCCACAGCUGCAGCCCCUGCUGUCUUGGAACUCAGCUGUGAAGCUGUAAGGGAGUGGGGUCUGGCUUUCCAGAGGAAGAGACCCUAUGAAGAGAACAAUAAAAAAUAUCUAU
Long non-coding RNA from Pteronotus mesoamericanus, 340 nucleotides. RefSeq lists it as uncharacterized. Lineage: Eukaryota; Metazoa; Chordata; Mammalia; Chiroptera; Mormoopidae. The record is from RefSeq and is a predicted model, not a curated record. The transcript has 3 exons.